This 428-nucleotide ribosomal RNA is filed under the name uncultured bacterium. RNAcentral describes it as "bacterial SSU rRNA". It matches the Rfam family "Bacterial small subunit ribosomal RNA", at positions 355 to 774 of the family's 1533-position model. The record is from RNAcentral.
UGGGGAAUAUUGCGCAAUGGGCGAAAGCCUGACGCAGCGACGCCGCGUGGGUGAUGAAGGCCUUCGGGUCGUAAAGCCCUGUCGGGAGGGACGAAACCUCGGUGACCUAAUAUGUCACCGACCUGACGGUACCUCUUAAGGAAGCACCGGCUAACUCCGUGCCAGCAGCCGCGGUAAUACGGAGGGUGCGAGCGUUGUUCGGAAUUACUGGGCGUAAAGCGCGUGCAGGCGGUCUCUUAAGUCUGGGGUGAAAGCCCGGGGCUCACCCCCGGAAGGGCACUGGNGACUGGGAGGCUAGAGUACCGGAGAGGAAGGUGGAAUUCCUGGUGUAGCGGUGAAAUGCGUAGAUAUCAGGAGGAACACCGGUGGCGAAGGCGGCCUUCUGGACGGCUACUGACGCUGAGACGCGAAAGCGUGGGGAGCAAACA